This 253-nucleotide ribosomal RNA is filed under the name uncultured bacterium. Its description in RNAcentral is "partial 16S ribosomal RNA". It matches the Rfam family "Bacterial small subunit ribosomal RNA", at positions 524 to 776 of the family's 1533-position model. The record is from RNAcentral.
UACAGAGGUCCCAAGCGUUGUUCGGAUUCACUGGGCGUAAAGGGUGCGUAGGCGGUCGGGUAAGUCUGAUGUGAAAUCUCACAGCUUAACUGUGAAACUGCAUUGGAUACUAUCCGGCUCGAGGAAUGGAGGGGAGACUGGAAUACUUGGUGUAGCAGUGAAAUGCGUAGAUAUCAAGUGGAACACCAGUGGCGAAGGCGGGUCUCUGGGCCGAUAUUGACGCUGAGGAGCGAAAGCGUGGGGAGCAAACAGG